Molecule: transfer RNA, 68 nt
Filed under: Upogebia yokoyai
Lineage: Eukaryota; Metazoa; Arthropoda; Malacostraca; Decapoda; Upogebiidae
Description: tRNA-Glu
Source: RNAcentral
GUUUUAGUGGUGUAUUUUAACAUAUUAUAUUUUCACUAUAAAGCUGGGAAAUUUUUUCCUCUAAAAUU